UAAGGAAUAUUGGUCAAUGGACGCAAGUCUGAACCAGCCAUGCCGCGUGGAGGAUGAAGGCCCUCUGGGUUGUAAACUUCUUUUAUAUGGGACGAAAAAGGGUCUUUCUAGAUCAACUGACGGUAUCAUGUGAAUAAGCACCGGCUAACUCCGUGCCAGCAGCCGCGGUAAUACGGAGGGUGCAAGCGUUAUCCGGAUUCACUGGGUUUAAAGGGUGCGUAGGUGGGUUGGUAAGUCAGUGGUGAAAUCUUCGAGCUUAACUCGGAAACUGCCAUUGAUACUAUAGGGCUUGAAUCAUCUGGAGGUGAGCGGAAUAUGUCAUGUAGCGGUGAAAUGCUUAGAUAUGACAUAGAACACCGAUUGCGAGGGCAGCUCACUACGGAUGUAUUGACACUGAGGCACGAAAGCGUGGGGAUCAAACA
This 422-nucleotide ribosomal RNA is filed under the name uncultured bacterium. RNAcentral describes it as "bacterial SSU rRNA". It matches the Rfam family "Bacterial small subunit ribosomal RNA", at positions 355 to 774 of the family's 1533-position model. The record is from RNAcentral.